CUGUUGUGAUCACCAAAGCAACACUAUCCGUUUAGGUGCUGGAUUAGAAUCCAGGCGAGUCCGCAGUAUAGUCUUUACACUUCAUCAACUUCCACACAGGACAUAAAUUGUACUAAUAUAGUAAUAUACUGAAAUCUCAGACCAACUGUUUGUCAUCGGAUUAGAAUGUGAUGACACAGAAUAAAGAUGUGAGACAGAAUCUGUGCUGAGGUCUAAAUUCACAUUGGAAGUCUGGGAAGAGAAGACUGUUUAUAAAAUUAUAGCCCAGGAAUUGCUGCCAAAGUCGGCCUUUGGUGCAGCUGUAAGUCGGAUGGAAUCCACCUUCCUGACGUCAGACCCACCCACUGGAACACUGCUCCUCUGACUGGGGCUUCCCUGAAUGGAAACUACAUGUCAUACUGCAAAAGGUAAGGAACCCAGUGAGAAAGACAGAGAGAAGUAUGGACAAGAAACAGAUCCUAAACCUGUUUUGUUUUAUUUUUGGUAGUAGUUGUUUAUUUUUGAAAACAUUCAAACCACCUGUAUUGGUGGCUGUUAUUAUGAAAUAAAUAAACUGAGAAACAACAAGACAAUUUGGCCUCUACAAUUUGUUUAGUUUUGACUAAGUAUUUGCCUUGGAAGAAGUAUGUGUACAAUACUCAUUUUUAAAAGAUGCAACAGUCACCUCGUUACUUGGAGUUUUACUUGAGACUUGAAUGGACUGAAACCACCUGGUCACCACUAGAAGCUACAUCAAGGAAAAGAAAGGCAACAUAUUGAAUCUCUUGGGAGAAACUCAUCCUGUAUCUGCUCGAUUGAAAACAUGAAGGUGCACAUUCCAAGCUGCAUAUGCUCAGGUCCGAGUUUCCAAGGAAACAAGGGACUGCUCAUCUAUCUGCAAAACUGAACUGACGAGUCACUUUCAGCUUGUUACAAACCUUGAUUCUGAAUCAAAUUCUAGUGUGCAGUCUAAAAAUUCUCACUGCCUUGUCAUUUCUGCCGAGCAAACCCCUGAUGCUAUGAGGCUGGCAGUUGGGCAGGGAUUUUCCUGGGUUGUGCACUCUAAUUUUUUCCUCUGCACUGUUAGUGAAAUACUGUCAUUGAGAACCAGCUCCACACUGCACCUAUGUGAGAAAGGCCUUGGUUUCUAUCAGUAAAGUCAGACAGGGCUAUGUGCAUUUGGGAUGCCCUGGUCAACCAUACAGGAGGAAGCACAGUGGUCUUCCCAGCUCUCACAGUGGCCACCAGCUCUCAGGCUCACAAACUAGGCAAAGCAAAGAGCAACAGAACAACCUACUUCCCAACUUUCAUUAGUCACUCAAAUCCAAGUGGGUGAUCGUAUUUCUGAAGGUCUUGAAUACAGGACUUCCUGACCAUUCUUUAGCAUUUACUGAUGAAAGUAUUUCAGAUGUGUUAUGUUGUUUGGCAUGUGUUAUGUUGUUUGGCAAUCACAGUAAGUGUUGAGAUAGAUACUAUGAUUAUCUUCAUUCUCUAGGAACAGGCACAGAGAGGUUAAGUAAUUUCCCAAAGGUCACACAGUUUGUAAGUGAUAAAACUGAUUUGAAGCCAAACUAUGUCACCCCAAACUCAUAUUUUUAACACUUUAUUCCAUCUUCUAAAAGGCUGGCUAUUCUAUUUUUCUCUAAGUUUCAAAUUAGUAUGCCCAUUCCCUUGUUCAUUCAUUCAUUCAUCCAACAAACAUGUGUCAGGCAUCUAUGCCAGGCUCUGUGGAUAUAGUAUAAUAACAAACAAGACAGAUAAGAUUUCUCAGGGAGCUUACGUUUUGUAGAGGAGACUAAAUAAAUAAGCAAGCACAAACAAUGUAGAGUUUGUAAUAUUACCUAUCCCAGCAAAGGAAACCAACACUAGUGUGAGAAAAUUAAAUUAUAAAAGACCCUAACAUUUUCAAGAUACUGAAGGGGAUGAGAUGAAGCAGAGGUAGAGUGGGGCUGGAUUAUGCUGAAACACAUAGAACAGACUGGAUUCUAUUUUAAGUGAGGUGAUAAAUUCUUAAGGGUUUGUCAUUUUUGAGGUAGAACUGUCUUUUGUUCCUAUUGUAAAGAAACUACAUAGGUAGGCAUAAAAUACACCUGUAUGCCAGAGAUAGAAAAA
This is a long non-coding RNA of Homo sapiens (human), 2091 nucleotides long. Ensembl annotates it as long intergenic non-protein coding RNA 1828. The record is from Ensembl. Lineage: Eukaryota; Metazoa; Chordata; Mammalia; Primates; Hominidae.